CCUACGGGAGGCAGCAGUGGGGAAUAUUGCGCAAUGGGCGAAAGCCUGACGCAGCGACGCCGCGUGAGGGAUGAAGGUCUUCGGAUCGUAAACCUCUGUCAGCAGGGAAGAAUGGUCACUGUGCUAAUCAGCAGUGAAUUGACGGUACCUGCAAAGGAAGCACCGGCUAACUCCGUGCCAGCAGCCGCGGUAAUACGGAGGGUGCGAGCGUUAAUCGGAAUUACUGGGCGUAAAGCGCUCGUAGGCGGUAUGUCAAGUCAAGGGUGAAAUCCCCGCGCUCAACGUGGGAACUGCCUUUGAAACUGGCAAACUGGAGUGUGUGAGAGGAUAGUGGAAUUCCAGGUGUAGGAGUGAAAGCCGUAGAUAUCUGGAGGAACAUCAGUGGCGAAGGCGACUAUCUGGCACAUAACUGACGCUGAGGAGCGAAAGCGUGGGUAGCAAACAGGAUUAGAUACCCCAGUAGUC
Molecule: ribosomal RNA, 465 nt
Filed under: uncultured bacterium
Lineage: Bacteria
Description: partial 16S ribosomal RNA
Rfam family: Bacterial small subunit ribosomal RNA
Source: RNAcentral